Molecule: long non-coding RNA, 301 nt
Organism: Rosa chinensis
Lineage: Eukaryota; Viridiplantae; Streptophyta; Magnoliopsida; Rosales; Rosaceae
Exons: 4
Source: RefSeq, a predicted model, not a curated record
CUCGAUCUCACUCUCAUGAACCUCAGUCCCUCAAUCCACCCUCAAUCCCUUUCACCCUCUCAAGCUCACACACACUCUCAUCCUCCUGCGAUUCCGGCAAAGCAAUUUUGGGUAUGGAAGUUUUGGGUAUAGAAGUUUGGGUAAAGUAAGUUUGCAAAGCAUAGACGUCCUCAAGUUUGGUUCGAUUUCUGGUUCGAUUUCGAAUUCUUCAAGCUUGUACAAGUCCUUCAUCUACUGCUCCCCCACAGUACAAUUUCCCUCAAAUGAGUAAUCAGAAUCAAGUAGCUCCACAACAAGGACU